UACGUAGGGUGCAAGCGUUAAUCGGAAUUACUGGGCGUAAAGCGUGCGCAGGCGGCUAUGCAAGACAGAUGUGAAAUCCCCGGGCUCAACCUGGGAACUGCAUUUGUGACUGCAUGGCUAGAGUACGGUAGAGGGGGAUGGAAUUCCGCGUGUAGCAGUGAAAUGCGUAGAUAUGCGGAGGAACACCGAUGGCGAAGGCAAUCCCCUGGACCUGCACUGACGCUCAUGCACGAAAGCGUGGGGAGCAAACAGG
RNAcentral lists this ribosomal RNA (253 nucleotides) under uncultured bacterium. RNAcentral describes it as "partial 16S ribosomal RNA". It matches the Rfam family "Bacterial small subunit ribosomal RNA", at positions 524 to 776 of the family's 1533-position model. The record is from RNAcentral.